CCUACGGGGGGCAGCAGUGGGGAAUAUUGCACAAUGGGGGAAACCCUGAUGCAGCAACGCCGCGUGAGUGAAGAAGUAUUUCGGUAUGUAAAGCUCUAUCAGCAGGGAAGAAAAUGACAGUACCUGACUAAGAAGCCCCGGCUAACUACGUGCCAGCAGCCGCGGUAAUACGUAGGGUGCAAGCGUUACUCGGAAUCACUGGGCGUAAAGAGCGCGUAGGCGGGAUAGCAAGUCAGAUGUGAAAUCCUAUGGCUUAACCAUAGAACUGCAUUUGAAACUGUUAUUCUAGAGUAUGGGAGAGGUAGGUGGAAUUCUUGGUGUAGGGGUAAAAUGCGUAGAUAUUAGGAGGAACACCGGUGGCGAAGGCGGCUUACUGGACCGUAACUGACGUUGAGGCUCGAAAGCGUGGGGAGCAAACAGGAUUAGAUACCCCAGUAGUC
RNAcentral lists this ribosomal RNA (440 nucleotides) under uncultured bacterium. RNAcentral describes it as "partial 16S ribosomal RNA". It matches the Rfam family "Bacterial small subunit ribosomal RNA", at positions 338 to 795 of the family's 1533-position model. The record is from RNAcentral.